UAAGUAGGACAGACAAUCGCGGCUGCAUGUACCGAAAGGUCGCAGGUGAGGAAAGUCCGGGCUUCACAGGGCAGGAUGCCGGAUAACGUCCGGUAGAGGUGACUCUAAGGCCAGUGCAACAGAAAUAAACCGCCUGAGAAGACUCAGGUAAGGGUGGAAAGGCAGUGUAAGAGACUACCGCCCCGGUGGUAACAGCGGGGGCACAUGUAAACCCCAUCCGAAGCAAGACCGAACGAAAACAAUGUGGCGGCCCGUCACGUUUUAGGUAGGUCGCUUGAAACUGUCGGCAACGGCAGUUCUAGAUAGAUGAUUGUCCAACGACAUAACCCGGCUUAUCGUCCUGCUUAGAUU
Molecule: RNase P RNA, 351 nt
Filed under: Coprococcus sp. AF21-14LB
Lineage: Bacteria; Bacillati; Bacillota; Clostridia; Lachnospirales; Lachnospiraceae
Also listed under: 1 other name
Description: Bacterial RNase P class A
Rfam family: Bacterial RNase P class A
About the family: Ribonuclease P (RNase P) is a ubiquitous endoribonuclease, found in archaea, bacteria and eukarya as well as chloroplasts and mitochondria. Its best characterised activity is the generation of mature 5'-ends of tRNAs by cleaving the 5'-leader elements of precursor-tRNAs.
Source: Rfam by way of RNAcentral